This 493-nucleotide ribosomal RNA is filed under the name uncultured Lachnospiraceae bacterium. RNAcentral describes it as "bacterial SSU rRNA". It matches the Rfam family "Bacterial small subunit ribosomal RNA", at positions 12 to 507 of the family's 1533-position model. Lineage: Bacteria; Bacillati; Bacillota; Clostridia; Lachnospirales; Lachnospiraceae. The record is from RNAcentral.
UUUGAUCCUGGCUCAGGAUGAACGCUGGCGGCGUGCCUAACACAUGCAAGUCGAACGAAGCACAUGCCUGGAACCCUCCGGGGGAAGGGCAUAUGACUGAGUGGCGGACGGGUGAGUAACGCGUGGGCAACCUGCCCCGCACUGGGGGACAACAGCCGGAAACGGCUGCUAAUACCGCAUAUGCGCACAGCUUUGCAUGAAGCAGUGUGGAAAACUCCGGUGGUGCGGGAUGGGCCCGCGUCUGAUUAGCUGGUUGCGGGGGCAACGGCCCACCAAGGCGACGAUCAGUAGCCGGCCUGAGAGGGUGGACGGCCACAUUGGGACUGAGACACGGCCCAGACUCCUACGGGAGGCAGCAGUGGGGGAUAUUGCACAAUGGGGGAACCCUGAUGCAGCGACGCCGCGUGAGCGAAGAAGUACCUCGGUAUGUAAAGCUCUAUCAGCAGGGAAGAAAAUGACGGUACCUGACUAAGAAGCCCCGGCUAAAUACGUG